UCCGGUUUGUCACCGGCAGUCUGGCGUGAGUCCUCAACUUAAUGUUAGCAACACACCACGGGGGUUGCGCUCGUUGCGGGACUUAACCCAACAUCUCACGACACGAGCUGACGACAGCCAUGCAGCACCUGUGGCACACCCUCGAAGGUCACACGUUUCCGUGCGCUUGCAGUGCCAUGUCAAGCCCAGGUAAGGUUCUUCGCGUUGCAUCGAAUUAAAGAACAUGCUCCGCUGCUUGUGCGGGCCCCCGUCAAUUCUUUUGAGUUUUAGCCUUGCGGCCGUACUCCCCAGGCGGAACACUUAUCGCGUUGGCUACGGCACCGAGGGAUUCGACUCCCCCAACACCUAGUGUUCAUCGUUUACGGCAUGGACUAC
RNAcentral lists this unclassified non-coding RNA (375 nucleotides) under uncultured Rubrobacterales bacterium. RNAcentral describes it as "contains 16S-23S intergenic spacer region". The record is from RNAcentral. Lineage: Bacteria; Bacillati; Actinomycetota; Rubrobacteria; Rubrobacterales.